This is a long non-coding RNA of Talpa occidentalis (Iberian mole), 352 nucleotides long. RefSeq lists it as uncharacterized. The record is from RefSeq and is a predicted model, not a curated record. The transcript has 3 exons. Lineage: Eukaryota; Metazoa; Chordata; Mammalia; Eulipotyphla; Talpidae.
UUGACUUCAUCCCUAAGCAGAUUCACCUCCGUCAUAGCAGCAUCUUACCUCACAGGAGUGGGAAAGAGGACUUGCAGGGUUAGCAGUUCCUUUACUUGAAUUUUUCUGUAUAUGUCUGCUUGGGCAUCUCUGGUCAGCCUUGGAGAAGCUGUUUUCAUGAUAAUCACGACUGCCUGCAAACCUGUUAUGGAUCCAAUUUUGAGUCAAAGUCUUUUUGCUUCACUUUAUUUCCAGCCAGUUCAACAGGUUGAUGGCAUGACACAGCCAAGACAGAGUGGGAACAUUCCAGUACUACUACAGCACAAGCAAUAAAACUCCGUUCUAAAGGAAAGAGAGACUAUGGAAAUGAAAA